RNAcentral lists this long non-coding RNA (232 nucleotides) under Danio rerio (zebrafish). RNAcentral's name for it is "si:ch1073-127a7.1 (ENSDARG00000096894.2)". The record is from RNAcentral. Lineage: Eukaryota; Metazoa; Chordata; Actinopteri; Cypriniformes; Danionidae.
CUAAUAAGGACUGAGGAAUCUAAAGUCUGCGGGGAGUAGUGUGGUCGAAUAAAGCAGAUUCCUCUCGAGCAGCGUAGUGGACCGAGCCGCGAAGAAGAGAAGGAGGAAAAAAAAGUCCAAGGCACCAACGCCCCGCCAACAAGUCAAACGCAGAGCGAGUGGAAGUAACGUGAGGAUCAGAUGUUUCACGCGCACGCACGGCUUUUCACCACUACUGCGAUGCGUUCUGCAG